AACGAACGCUGGCGGCAGGCCUAACACAUGCAAGUCGAACGCCGUAGCAAUACGGAGUGGCAGACGGGUGAGUAACACGUGGGAACGUACCUUUCGGUUCGGAAUAACUCAGGGAAACUUGAGCUAAUACCGGAUACGUGCGAGAGCAGAAAGAUUUAUCGCCGAAAGAUCGGCCCGCGUCCGAUUAGCUAGUUGGUGAGGUAAUGGCUCACCAAGGCGACGAUCGGUAGCUGGUCUGAGAGGAUGAUCAGCCACACUGGGACUGAGACACGGCCCAGACUCCUACGGGAGGCAGCAGUGGGGAAUAUUGGACAAUGGGCGCAAGCCUGAUCCAGCCAUGCCGCGUGAGUGAUGAAGGCCCUAGGGUUGUAAAGCUCUUUGUCCGGAAGAUAAUGACUGUACCGGAAGAAUAAGCCCCGGCUAACUUCGUGCCAGCAGCC
Molecule: ribosomal RNA, 440 nt
Filed under: uncultured bacterium
Lineage: Bacteria
Description: bacterial SSU rRNA
Rfam family: Bacterial small subunit ribosomal RNA
Source: RNAcentral